RNAcentral lists this ribosomal RNA (361 nucleotides) under Orygma luctuosum. RNAcentral's name for it is "partial 12S ribosomal RNA". Lineage: Eukaryota; Metazoa; Arthropoda; Insecta; Diptera; Sepsidae. The record is from RNAcentral.
UAGAUACCCUAUUAUUUGGAAUGUAUUUAAUUAACUAAAGUAGUAGUAGUUAUGUUCUUGAAACUUAAAAAAUUUGGCGGUAUUUUAGUCUAUUCAGAGGAACCUGUUCUGUAAUCGAUAAUCCACGAUGGACCUAACUUAAGUUUGUUUUUCAGUUUGUAUACCGUCGUUAUAAGAAUAUUUUAUAAGAAAAAUAAUUUUCUAGAAUUUUUAUAAAAAUUUAUAUCAGAUCAAGGUGCAGCUUAUAUUUAAGUAGAAAUGGGUUACAAUAAAUAUAUUUAUAAUGAAUUUAAUUUUGAAAUAAAUUAAUAAAAGUGGAUUUGAAUGUAAAAUUAUAAAGAUUAAUAAUUUGAUUUUAGCU